CCGAAACGCGUAAGGACAGGACACUUUUUGGCACUUACCUCAAACUGCUACACUACUGAGUUAUACUGGAACUCAGAAGAAGAGAACUUUGACAUGCACGCAGCACCUUAUAGUUUUUUCAUCUACUGGUGGAACUGUAGGACCGUGAUAACCACCCCCAAAGACAAGCCUUUCCAUGAACACUUGGUAUAUAUCUGCAAAGUGUAAGUGCAUUUUAAUUCAGCAAUUUUAUUAAAGUAUUCAACACAGUAAGUGUAACAGAUCACCUGGCACCCCGACUGGGUACCUCCGUUGAAGGAUGCUCCUAGCGGUUCCUGAGGACUCCAAGCACUGCAGCAGACACCAAAACCACCGAUCUGUAGGAGCAUAUGAAUGCUCUUGAGCAUAUGAAUGCUCUCAAGCAUAUGAAUGUUGUACACAGCCAAAUAGGAAAAACCAUGCGAAUAGGCUUACACUACAAACUGGAACAGCAUACAAUGAAUCCUCCCCCAAUAAUGAGACGACACUUCACUUUGAGGGUUAAGCAGGAACUGCAGAGAUGUGGGUUUAUUGUUCUUAUGUACACAUUCUUACACAUUAGUACCACCCACAGGGUUUUGUAAAACAACCAAUAAACACAUACAAUACACUCAGACACUCCCACACAAAAUCCUCCCCUCUGCCGGUGAUACAAUUACCUUACACAGUGGGUAAUUCAAUUAUCACAGCCAGAGAAAUACAGUUUUUCCACAUUAUUCAUAACUUGAAAAGUAUGCAUCACAUUCACAUUUUCAGAAUCAGCAUACUCCAAAUAUGUCAAAAUCAUACAUAUUUGUCCAGUGGUUCAAAAGAUAGAUUGUAGUCCUUUGUGACCAAAGGAAGCAUGGCUUUUCUGCCCAAAACCAGUUCCACAGAGUCUUCUAUCCUGGAGAUAAUUGGGAAGUAAUCCAAUUAUCUCCAAAGACAGAGGCAAAACUCCAUUGAACACAUGGCAGCAAAAGACAAUAAAACACAUAAAACAUAUAACUGUGCAGCCAUUGCACAAAACAGGUACAUUCAACAUAUCCCCAGAUAGCUCAGAUCUGAGCGCACAUUAUUACUGAAUGGCGCUCAGAGCACACACAUACAGUUCAAUUGCCAUGGAGCCAAAGUCUUUCCCAUAGUCUUUCAUUAUACGAAUGGGCUCCAUGGCAUAGCUACCUGGGGUAUCACUGCUCACGUAGGGAAAGUACCGAAGAGCCAGCUUUUGGGUCUUUGCAGGGGAAAAUCCAUCAUUUCAACAUGGGGCCAUAGUCACAGGGCAGGAGGCCGGCAAUCAGUCUUCUCCAAUGCUCAGUGGCGAGGCUGGUUCCGCCACAUUUCUCCCUUUCCCAAAACAACUAACAAGGUAUCAGGCCUCCUGUCGGUCAGUGCCUUGGUUAGUCCAGCAACCCACCCACAAAACAUAGUCAGUAGUGCAGCACACCCACAAUGAACAGUUACUGUACCUGGGGUAGUGGGUAGCUUGUCCAUGUCCAGGGGCUCCACCACGGGUCUGGGGAGUACUAGCCCUCCGGAUCAGUGGGUUACUGCGUGGGCCGAGACCAGUGGUACUCUGCCCUGGUGCCAGCACUACCACGGGAGUAGCCUGAUUGGGGCUCAGCUGAGGAGAAGGGUUAGUAGGCUCCUCCCUCUGGACCUGGUGUUUCUGCUGGAGGGGAAGACAGGCUGUCUCCCCUUUGGAUAAACAGCCAUGCUGCAGGGGGACAGGACCGACUGUCCCUACCCCCUGUGGUUUGGGCACAGAGACCACGGUGGCAUCUGCACCGUUGUGGGGCUUACUGUCUCCCCUUGGUGGGCUAGGCUGCUGCUGGGGAGAGGGUGUAACAAGCUCCUCUCCCAUAUAUCCUUUCAGCUGCUGGGGAGAGGGGGUAACAAGCUCCUCUCCCUGACACUCUCUCUGCUGUUGGAGAGGGAGACCGACUGUCUCCCCUUUCAAUAAUUUGUUCUGUCGCUGGGAAGAGGUGAUAACCGGUUCCUCUCCCUGGAACACUCUCUGCUGUUGGAUAGGGAGACCGACUGUCUCCCCUUUCAAUAAUUUGUCCUGCUGCUGCUGAGCAAGACCGACUGUCUCUGCUUCCUGCAGGACACACUGCCACUGGGGAGGAAGGACUGCACCUUCCGCUCCCUGGGAAACAUACUGCCGCUGGGGAGGAAGGACAGCACCUUCAGCUCCCUGGUACUCACUGGACUGUUGGGGAGAGGGACCAACUGUCUCCUCUCCUAAGGACACACACUGCCGCUGGGGAGUGAAACCAGUGGUCUCUCCUCCCUGUAAUGUACUCUGCCGCUCGGGAUCUGGGCCAACUGCCCAGCAUCCCUGUAGGGCCUGUAGAGAGAUCUCGGUCCCAUCUCCACCUGCCAUCUGUGGGUCUCUCCAGGACCAGUCCAUGAGGUCCCCUACUUCUGCAGCUGGUAGUGAAGCAGGGGGUACCUCGGCUGCGUUUCCCAGCUGUAGGUUGGCAGGUCUGGGUCCGCCACCCAGUUUUCCUGUUCUGCGUCCAUGCUCUGUGGCUGACAUGAGAUUAGUAGUUCCACAUAGUCCUAUUGGACUGGAACAAGACCUCCACCGUUUCGCUCUCGUUCCAUGGCAGCGAAACGGUGGAGGUCUUGUUCCAGUCCAAUAGAUCUCGGGCCCUGUACCAUCUCACCCCGGUAAUGAAAGAUAGCCCAGUACCGUGACUCUGCUGGACUGCCAAAGUCGACGUCUUCUGCUAAGGCCUUCCACAACAGGCCAGGGCUAGUGUAGUUCUCCCCCUCGGGCUGGAUGCCCUCUGCCCUCCACGUCUCUGGCUGGACAGUGCACCACCACAGUGCCCGGUAUGAGGCGUCAAGGCUCAGUUCCCUUUCCACGAGGUACUGAGGUUGUCUUACCAGCUGCCCUCCGGGUUAGUCUCCCAGAAGCGGCAUCCGCCAGGCCAUUUGUUCCUCCAACAGGUAUGCGACAUCAGGAAGGCGUUGAUACUGGACUUCCNNNNNNNNNNNNNNNNNNNNNNNNNNNNNNNNNNNNNNNNNNNNNNNNNNNNNNNNNNNNNNNNNNNNNNNNNNNNNNNNNNNNNNNNNNNNNNNNNNNNUCCAGGGCAUCGUACCAUAAUUCCGUCCGGGCAAUAUCUCUCCAUUCCAAUUCACUCUCUUCCUCAGGUGUGCGUGUUGCUCAAGGAUCCACGAACCCCAUUUUCCCAAAUCUUUAUGUAGACAGGGAUGCUGUAUAAACACUAGCGUCGCCUUCAAUUUGUACAUCCACGAACGGUGUCUCUGAGCUGCUUUACCUCGCACUAGGACGCCAUCCCACCGCUGCCACCAAUGUAACGGUUCACCUGGCACCCCGACUGGGUACCUCCAUUGAAGGAUGCUUCUAGCGCUUCAUGAGGACUCCAAGCACUGCAGCAGACACCAAAACCACCGAACCAUAGGAGCAUAUGAAUGCUCUCAAGCAUAUGAAUGUUGUAUACAGCCAAAUAGGAAAAACCAUGCGAAUAGGUUUACACUCCUAGCAGUCAAACUGGAACAGCAUACAAUGAAUCCUCCCCCAAUAAUGAGACGACACUUCACUUUGAGGGUUAAGCAGGAACUGCAGAGCUGUGGGUUUAUUGUUCUUAUAUACACAUUAGUACCACCCACAGGGUUUUGUAAAACAACCAAUAAACAUGUAGAUAACACUCAGACACUCCCAUACAAAAUCCUCCCCUCUGCCUGUGAUACAAUUACCUUACACAAUGGGUAAUUCAAUUAUCACAGCCAGAGAAAUACAGUUUUUCCACAUUAUUCAUAACUUGAAAAGUAUCCAUCACAUUCACAUAAAACUUACAUUUUCAGCAUACGCCAAAUAAAAACAUAUGUCAAAUUCAUACAUAUUGGUCCAGUGGUUCAAAAGAUAGAUCGUAGUCCUUUGUGACCACAGGAAGCAUGGCUUUUCUGCCCAAAACCAGUUCCACCUAGUCUUCUAUCCUGGAGAUAAUUGGGAAGUAAUCCAAUUAUCUCCAAGGACAGAGGCAAAACUCCAUUGAACACAUGGCAGCAAAAGACAAUAAAACACAUAAAAACAUAUAACUGUGCAGCCAUUGCAUAAAACAGGUACAUUGAACAUAUCCCCAGAUAGCUCAGAUCUGAGCACACAUUAUUACUGAAUGGCGCUCAGAGCACACACAUACAGUUCAAUUGCCAUGGAGCCAAAGUCUUUCCCAUAGUCUUUCAUUAUACGAAUGGGCUCCAUGGCAUAGCUAUCUGGGUAACACUGCUCACGUAGGGAAAGUACCGAAGAGCCAGCUUUUGGGUCUUUGCAGGGGAAAAUCCAUCAUUUCAACAUGGGGCCAUAGUCACAGGGCAAGAGGCCGGCAAUCAGUCUUCUCCAAUGCCCAGUGGCGAGGCUGGUUCCGCCACAGUAAGCACUAUGGAUCUCCAUUUUACUUAUUUCUAGAACAGAGAAAAAUAUCUGUAACUUAAGACCAUUAUAUAUGAUCUUAAAGUAUUAUUACUUAUAUGCAGUGUACAUAUUAUUGAUAGCACAACAUUUGAAGAAGACAUCACUGGUAUGGUACUAUAUACAAAUAGCUCAUUCAAUAGAUCAACCCCAGCUGGUUCAAUAGCUGGAGCUAUUGCAUAAACUGUAUCAACAUAUUGCUUUGAUACCUCUACCAGACUGAGACUGAACAUAUUGGAAUCAUUGGGACUUAUUCACUAAUACAUUGGUAUUUUAAGUGAAUUGUAAGUUUUAUUCAGUUUUAUACAUUUAUGAAACACUGCUCCUAUUGUAAAGGUAUAUUUAAUUCAUUCACUAUAACUACUCCUGGUCCUGGAUACUCAUUAGAUUAUAUAUAAUAUCUUACUCUCAUCCUAACAUUGGGAGUAGGACAUAUCCCCACACCUGCUGGCCUUGGAAACCUUAGUAACAAACAGUGAAAGAUCUGUUACAAAAAUAUUACACAGCUAAGCUAUUAUACUGCUAAGUGUACACUUUGCUAUUAACCUUCUAUUGCAAGAUAACAAACUAUCAGUUGGAUUACACUGGUUUGCAUUUUAGCAUUAUAUAACUAUAUUGGUGUAACGGACCGUUUAGCAUAAAAGGGGAAAAAACCGCUUAGACGAUAAUCCCCUUUCAGAGACAGGCACAGCUACUGUAGAAUCACCAAAACUCAUGAACUGAAUACAAGUGAAUGCUCCAAACUCCCGAACGGCAUACAAGGGAAUGCUCCAAACACUCGAACUGCAUACAAGGGAAUGGUCCAAACACUCGAACUGCAUACAAGGGAAUGGUCCAAACACUCGAACUGCAAACAAGUGAAUGCUCCAAACUCCCGAACGGCAUACAAGGGAAUAAGGUAGCACUCCAAAUACACGAACAGGAACCAUACGAAUUGCUGCUACCAGACGAACAGGAAAAGCUCCCAAGCGGCUUACACUCCUGGCAAUCAGUCCUUAGCAGCAUACAGUAAAUCCCCCCAAAGACGAGACAGAGCUCCGUGUUGAGGGUCAAGCAGUGGUCUGUUUAAUGAGGGCUACCUGCCCAGCUUUUAUGCAGGUCUCCCACCUGGUGGACACUCCCCUAGGGGACCAAAUGGGAGACUGUGACAAGGGACAGACAAGUAUACAAAUAGGACACACAGUCACAGUAUAUUCCCACAAUGCAUCCUGGCUUCCUCCCCUCUGCCCUGGGAGAUAAUUGGGAAGUAACUCAAUUAUCUCCCAAGUCAAAGGCAAAACUCCAUUACACACGUGGGAACACAAAACCAGCAUUAUACUUUAAAAUGCACAAAGUAACAUUUACUACAUAAAACACAGACAUGUAACAUAUCCCCAGAUAGCUCAGGUCUGAGUGCACAUUAUUAGGUGAAUGGCACUCAGACCACACGAAUACAGUUUUAAUUGCCAUGGAGCCAAAGUCUUUAAUUCCACGAAUAGGCUCCAUGGCAUAGCUAUCUGGGUUAAAACAUUCCUCCAACAUAAAAUACCGAAUUUACAUGCAUUCGUUCAAUCCGUGCGAAUUAGAACCAGGGGUUGGAGGUUCAGCGGUGCCUGCACGUAAAAGUGUCCGGGUUUGGUGCAUGAAAGCCGGGCAGACAAGCGCUGGCUGCCCGGGGAGCUCCAGAACACCGCCAUCGUGUGGCGGCUAAGUGUAACCGCGACCACCCAGUAACAAUCAAUUAAGCUGCGGUUAACCGCAGCUACUGGGUGGUCAAUUGCCGGCACACGCUCGUUAAGCCGCGGUUAACCGCGGCUUCAGGGAGGUAAAUGGAGGGCGCACUCCAGCUUCUGGGUGGCCAAUUAAGGUCGCCGGCCGGCUUCCCACGGCUCUGGGGAGGCUGAAAAGAGACUGUUUGUUUGGUAGAUGGAAUCUACCGAACGGCUGUGCAGAAAGGGAGAAAUAAAUCCUUCUGCACAGUAAAAUUAACCCUUUAGCUGCCGGUCCAUAAUCCAAAGGCAGCAGGCGGGCAACCAGGCUCCUCCAAUGCAAUGUGGCGAGAUUGGUUUCGUCACAAUUGGUAUAUAUAGAUUUAUAUUAUUUAAGGCUCUUAACAUGAUAAUCGUCACAAUGUAAAUGUCAGAAUAUUAGAUAUAGUUUUGCUGCUCCAUGAAAAACAAAUAUAUUUACAUUUUGUGAUUCAAUCUGUGCCUGGAUUUUGACUUUGCAUGUAUUUGAUGUCUGCCCAAACAGAGAGAGGAAUGGUAGUAUCAUGUGUGGGGGGAGUGUGGAGGGCGAUGUUGACUUGAUUUGUUAGUCUAAAACAGCCACCUUGUUAUAGAUCCAACACCGGACAGAAGAAACUUAGCAGUUUCACAAGUGCUG
This 6802-nucleotide long non-coding RNA is filed under the name Pelobates cultripes (western spadefoot toad). The record is from RNAcentral. Lineage: Eukaryota; Metazoa; Chordata; Amphibia; Anura; Pelobatidae.